Molecule: ribosomal RNA, 305 nt
Filed under: uncultured bacterium
Lineage: Bacteria
Description: bacterial SSU rRNA
Rfam family: Bacterial small subunit ribosomal RNA
Source: RNAcentral
UUGCCUACGGGAGGCAGCAGUGAGGAAUAUUGGUCAAUGGGCGGGAGCCUGAACCAGCCAAGUCGCGUGAGGGAAGACUGCCCUAUGGGUUGUAAACCUCUUUUGUCAGGGAGCAAUUGGCGCUACGUGUAGCGUUAUCGAGAGUACCUGAAGAAAAAGCAUCGGCUAACUCCGUGCAAGAAGCCGCGGUAAUACGGAGGAUGCGAGCGUUAUCCGGAUUUAUUGGGUUUAAAGGGUGCGAAGGCGGAAUGCCAAGUCAGCGGUAAAAUCGCGGGGCUAAACCUCGCUCCGCCGUUGAAACUGGG